UACGUAGGGUGCAAGCGUUGUCCGGAAUUAUUGGGCGUAAAGAGCUCGUAGGCGGUCUGUCGCGUCUGCUGUGAAAACUCGGGGCUUAACCCCGGGCCUGCAGUGGGUACGGGCAGACUAGAGUGCGGUAGGGGAGACUGGAAUUCCGUGGUGUAGCGGUGGAAUGCGCAGAUAUCAGGAGGAACACCGGUGGCGAAGGCGGUUCUCUGGGCCUUACCUGACGCUGGAGGAGCGAAAGCCGUGGGGAGCGAACAGG
Molecule: ribosomal RNA, 256 nt
Filed under: uncultured bacterium
Lineage: Bacteria
Description: partial 16S ribosomal RNA
Rfam family: Bacterial small subunit ribosomal RNA
Source: RNAcentral